Molecule: long non-coding RNA, 248 nt
Filed under: Homo sapiens (human)
Lineage: Eukaryota; Metazoa; Chordata; Mammalia; Primates; Hominidae
Description: HSALNT0156990
Source: RNAcentral
CUGCCAGGAUGAGGCUGCUGUGUGGCCUGUGGCUGUGGCUCUCCUUGCUGAAAGUCCUGCAGGCCCAGACCCCAACCCCCCUGCCACUCCCGCCCCCGAUGCAGAGCUUCCAAGGAAACCAGGCUGGUCACCCCAGGCCAGCGUCUGUUGAAGGAUGAAGCAGCUCCUGUCCGGCCCAGCCCUGCCUCACAGCUGUGCGAGCUCUGCCCUCCUCAGCUCUCAAACCUGAAUAAAUGCACCAAGCCCAG